UACGUAGGGUGCAAGCGUUAAUCGGAAUUACUGGGCGUAAAGGGUGUGUAGGCGGUUUGUUAAGUCUGAUGUGAAAUCCCCGAGCUUAACUUGGGAACUGCGUUGGAUACUGGCAAACUAGAGUAUGUAAGAGGGGGGUAGAAUUCCACGUGUAGCAGUGAAAUGCGUAGAGAUGUGGAGGAAUACCGAUGGCGAAGGCAGCCCCCUGGGACAAUACUGACGCUGAGGCACGAAAGCGUGGGGAGCAAACAGG
RNAcentral lists this ribosomal RNA (253 nucleotides) under uncultured bacterium. RNAcentral describes it as "partial 16S ribosomal RNA". It matches the Rfam family "Bacterial small subunit ribosomal RNA", at positions 524 to 776 of the family's 1533-position model. The record is from RNAcentral.